CUCAGGGCUAAGUGCUGAAGGGGUCGGUUUGAAGGUCCCCAGAUCCCCCAGUUGAAAACGCUGGCGAGCCGCUGAAGCUGUGGUCUCACGGCGCCUUUUCCAUCCCAGGUACCUGUGGCUGCGGGGUCCAGCCAGCCAGGCAGCAGGAAUCCCUCCCACAGCCCAGUGACACUCAUGAGGAAGCUCCCAUUCUGUUUUGAAACUGUUUUCCACGGAGGCCUCCACCUAGGAAAAGAUGUCUUGUAUUAUUUUUAACUUGCAGGCCCUUGAACCUAGCGGCUCCUAGGAAUCAGGUGUGCAAAGCAACCAACACUGCUGUAUGGACAGGUUCUGCCAGCCGAGGGGGGCCCUGCUGCUGCAGCUCGGGAGGAUGACUUCCAAGGCCCCCCGGGUCUAAAGAAGCCUGUGUCCAGCGAGCCCACUCCAUGGACCAUUUCCCAGUGAGUGCGGCCAACCCAUAGAAGGCUCAUCGAAGUCUUGACUCAUUGCCCCCAGUAGGUGGAGAGGUAGGGUCCACAGAGCCGGGUGUAGGGGCUCAGCGGGGUGAGUGGCACAGGACCGAGCCAGGAUUCCUUGUUAGACCCUUUUAGAACCUGCUGAACCCGCUUUCCAACCCCGAUGUCUCCAGCGCCCCCACGGUUACUGGGGACGGUACAAACAGGGAUAUCCAUCUCAACAGGGAUAACCCGGAGGAUGCUUCCUGGACAGAGCUCAGCGUCUCCCAGCCCCCAGCUCCAAACAAGCAAAUGGCCCUGAGCUUCCUUAACAUCUUUCAAAACAAGCCAGGCUGAGGAGUAUCAGCUGAGCUCUCCCUGGCUUACUCUGGAAGACCGUGCAGGAAGCCACCCUCAGAGCGGAUGCUUCCACAGGAAUACAAUCCCAUAAGGCUCAUCCCUUCCUGUCGCCUGAGACGGUCAGACCAUUGCAACAGACACGACUGUCUGCACGACACACGUGUGGUGUUUUGAGAGCACGCUGGCUGCAGAAACGGCCACCUGAAAUACAGGGUUACUACCCCUCAGGCAGUGGCUGAACUGCCCAACCUGGCCAUCCCCAGCCCCAUCCUAGUUGAGGGCGCAAGCAGUGGAUGCUUAGGUGGACACACGGAAUCUGAUGGUCUUCAUGGUGUAGUUUCAAGAACAAACCCGAUGCAGGGUCACCGGUUUGAACGUGACACGAUGCACGUCCCGAGGUGGGCUCUGCGGACUGUGCAGACCAGGUGGACCCGAGGUGCGCUCGGUAGGGCUGGAGGAAGGGCCCACUGUCAGAUGUCUGGCAAGCACUGGGUGAUUCUGGGGGAAGUGGGCUGCUUUGCUUAGUGGCUCUCCCGGCCCUAAUGGGCCUCUCCCCAGCAGGCCUGGGUGUGCAGUUUCCCAGAUGUACGUUUCCCGUGGAGCCCUUCAUUGGCAGAAC
This 1413-nucleotide long non-coding RNA is filed under the name Lynx pardinus (Iberian lynx). Lineage: Eukaryota; Metazoa; Chordata; Mammalia; Carnivora; Felidae. The record is from RNAcentral.